This 273-nucleotide ribosomal RNA is filed under the name Listeria monocytogenes. Its description in RNAcentral is "partial 16S ribosomal RNA". It matches the Rfam family "Bacterial small subunit ribosomal RNA", at positions 1270 to 1533 of the family's 1533-position model. Lineage: Bacteria; Bacillati; Bacillota; Bacilli; Caryophanales; Listeriaceae. The record is from RNAcentral.
AAUCCCAUAAAACUAUUCUCAGUUCGGAUUGUAGGCUGCAACUCGCCUACAUGAAGCCGGAAUCGCUAGUAAUCGUGGAUCAGCAUGCCACGGUGAAUACGUUCCCGGGCCUUGUACACACCGCCCGUCACACCACGAGAGUUUGUAACACCCGAAGUCGGUAGGGUAACCUUUAUGGAGCCAGCCGCCGAAGGUGGGACAGAUAAUUGGGGUGAAGUCGUAACAAGGUAGCCGUAUCGGAAGGUGCGGCUGGAUCACCUCCUUUCUAAGGAA